AUACGUCAAAUACAUGUCUUUGCUCUGUGUACUUGAAUGGGUAUUUUGUGAACCGGUAAUGAUAAAUAGGAAUUCUCAUAUUUUAUGCUAACCUGGUAUUUGGAGAAAUUAAUAUACUCUUACGGACUAUUAGUCGGGUGUUUUUUAGGUGAAAAUAUUGUCUCCAUUUAGACACGUAUGUAUCUUCAACUCUAAUUUGUAUUUUUGUAAAUGCACAAAAUUUAGUGUGUGAAGGAAUAUUAAUAUUUGCCUUUAUUGUAUAUAAUUCUUAUGUUAAGAAUUUCUUCCAUUUAUGAAAAUUGAAGGUGAUUGUAUUUUUGAAUGUUUCUUCAGGUUGGGGGGGGGGGGGUAAAGAAAGAAACAAUCCUACCACUAUUCAUGCCUUACUAUGAUAAUAGUUUUUUUAAUUUUAACUACUGCAAGUGCAAUUAGCAUACUACAAAUGACUGUAAAUGAAGUUGUUCUGUAAUUGUCAGAACUCUCCCAUCUCACUAUCAAUAUUCCAUCAGGAUGUAUGGGUAAGUCACAUCAAGAUAAUUUGGAUGAUGUUUGUGACAAAACAAUUUUACUUAUCUACUUUGCACCAAAAUCAAAUCCAUUGUAUAUUAAAGAUCAUUGUAAAUACAUUGUCAGCUGUCAUUUUUAUAUAUACAAUUCCUUAGUGGGGCAAUAUAUAUCAAUAUUCAUCUCAUAUUUUACUAUUUUCAUAUCUUGUCCAAAUCAGCUGAGUAAUUUUAUUAUAUUGUAUUGUAUAUAGCAUGAAUGUACUGCAACUACAGCAAGAAUAAGGCAAAUAUAUUGUGAAGUAUGAUAAAGAUAAGAAAUAUGGACUACAGGUUGAUUAUUAUUAUUGGCAAGAAAGGAAGUUGUGUCAAGUUUAGUGAAAGGGUAAUUAAUGAAGCCACCGGUUACAUACUGUAAUAACACAGAAUAAAGUGGUGACUAACUACAAGAAACAGAGACCUGUUGUGGUCUUUGCUUCCUCAAAAUAGUUAUAUUUGUCACUGCACAAAAGAAUGGAGAUUUACUCCUAUGAGUUAAGGUACUAUACUGAACGCACAAAACUAAUCAUGGUUAUCUGUAUUCUUGUACUAGAGCUGUUUUUAUUUAUGUACAUAAAACAGUAUAAGGUAGAAAACUGUAAAUAUGUUAUUCUUGGCCAUUUCUUAGGAAUCGUUUCACUGCAAUAUAUUUUAGAAGCAUUUGUGUUUAGUGGACAUCAUUCAAGCUAGGUGGAUAUUUCUUUUGAUUUUAUUUUACUACAUGCAUAUACGUGUACUGUAUCAAUCUACAUGUACAUGUAUGGUGUACAAUACUAAUAAAUGCAUUUCUUUGUAAUUGUAACAUGUGUGCAAUUUGGUCAAAAAUUGUCAAUCUUGUAAGCAAUAUAUCGCCUGCUGAGAGCUGAAACUCUUUUUAAAGUGACAAGAUAUCGACACCCUUCCGGGUGAUUCCCUCUUGUGUGGUAUAUAUCCUUUAUCCAUUUAUUCCAUCCAAAAAUGAAAAAUCUUCUGAUAUUAUCUGUUUAGCGCCAGAAGGGUGUUAACUCUGUGCUAAAGUAUAUGGGUAAAUGCCCUUCUGGCUCAAAACACACAACAUAUCUACUGACAACGGUAGUGGCACAGGAUAGAACCACGAGUCAACGGUCAUAUGAAAUACUUUCAUUAUUGGAUCACUUGGAUGAAAUCAAUGCAAAGAAGUGCUCUUCUGGCUCUCCAAAGAUGAAAUACACUAUAUACUCCAGUCAUACCAACGAGACCGACACAAGACCCCUCACACGAUUGUAGUACCCCACAAUGGCUUAGAAUCGCUCGGUUCGGAGUCGGUAUGGGGUCGGUUUGGAGUUGGUAUGGGGUCGGUUUGGAGUUGGUAUGGGGUCGGUUUGGAGUUGGUAUGGGGUCAGUUUGGAGUUGGUAUUGGGUCGGUUCAGAGUCGGUAUGGGGUCAGUUUGGAGUUGGUAUGGGGUCAGUUUGGUAGUGUGACUAAAGCAAAGGUACCGGGUACAUGUAUUAGCCUUUUGCUAUGCACUGUACGACUCAAAAUCCAUGUAUGCAUAUCACAUUGAUUAAAAGGGCUGUAUGUAAUAUUUACAUGCAAAGAAGGUACUGGUACUGUCUGCAGUACUGAAGUUCCAAGAUCAAAAUCUCAUGAAACAUGGUUUGCCUUUGAUAAUACUCUUUCAUUCUUGAUAACUGAUGAUGGUUAGAUGUGUGUGAUUGUUAUGUUCUUAUUUAGGAAUCAUUUGUUAAUUUCCUAUGUACAGCAGGGUCAACAGACUACAUGAAUGAAUAGUUGUCAAAUUAUUUGUUUAAAAAAUAUUUGCUUCCAUGUUUUAACAGGGUAAAUGAACAAAUGUCAUUCUAAAAAUUGAUUGUAUCCAUGUUUUAACAGGGUCUAUUACAGUGUAUGACGUGGUGGUGUCUUUAAAUGAUUCAGUACUUUUACUCAAAAAUCUUAAGUCAAACAAAAAUUUAAUAGAAUCAUUCACUCAAUAAUAUUUUUCACUCUUACUGUAUGUUUUGGAUUAGAAGCUGGUAUUCCAAACGAAAAUUUCCAAUUUGUGGGGGGAAAAUAGUUGAAUAGAUAACAAAUUGCACUCUUAAUGAAGGUAAAAGUAACAUGUAAGUAGACUAGCUAGUGGGUGUAUUUAUUCUUGCAAAAACAAAGCUCCUCAGGUCUUUGGACAAACCUAAUUAAUUUGUUAUUGGCAGGGUUGAUCAGUCCUCAUGAAAGUAAUGAUCUCAGUUGAAUAUUGAUGACAACUUUGUGUGAUUAUACAGGAUUGUUGUUUUCUCCUUUUUUGCUGGACACGUAAUUUGAAUUGAGAUAUAUGUAAUGUGUACAAACCCUUUUACACACAUACCUUCAAAUUGCAGUUGUGAGAAGUAAAAAUUAAUGUAAUAAGACUUGGUGACCAUAAAAAGCAUGUUCACAAUGGUAUAUUCUAACUGCAACAGUUUAACUUUUAGAUCAUAAAAUUGAUAUCAAAUAUAUUUUGUACCACAUCCAUCAAUAAAAAUAAUUUGUUUCUGCAAUACCGUACAUGUAUUUUGAAUAAAUAUUUAAUUCUCUUAUCUGGCUGUUUAAUAUUCAGACGUUGUCCAUUUCCAUUAAUGUAUGCAAGCUAGUGCUUUAUUCUGUCAUUUAUCUUUCCUAUUGUGAUGUCCAUAUGUAUAAGCUAUGCAGAACUAGUCUGAAAAAGAAAGAACUGAAAUUGCUACCAUUUGGAACUCAAUAAAGUAUAAUCUUUAUUUUAUGA
This 3259-nucleotide long non-coding RNA is filed under the name Strongylocentrotus purpuratus (purple sea urchin). RNAcentral's name for it is "uncharacterized LOC115919513". Lineage: Eukaryota; Metazoa; Echinodermata; Echinoidea; Camarodonta; Strongylocentrotidae. The record is from RNAcentral.